GGGGAUUUGGCUCAGUGGUAGAGCGCUUGCCUAGCAAGCUCAAGGCCCUGGGUUCAGUCCCCA
Non-coding RNA from Rattus norvegicus (Norway rat), 63 nucleotides. The record is from Rfam. NCBI's taxonomy places the organism in Eukaryota, Metazoa, Chordata, Mammalia, Rodentia, Muridae.